RNAcentral lists this ribosomal RNA (460 nucleotides) under uncultured bacterium. RNAcentral describes it as "partial 16S ribosomal RNA". It matches the Rfam family "Bacterial small subunit ribosomal RNA", at positions 338 to 795 of the family's 1533-position model. The record is from RNAcentral.
CCUACGGGAGGCUGCAGUGAGGAAUAUUGGUCAAUGGGCGCGAGCCUGAACCAGCCAAGUAGCGUGAAGGAUGAAUGCCCUACGGGUUGUAAACUUCUUUUGUAAAGGAAUAAAGUGAGGCACGUGUGCCUUUUUGUAUGUACUUUAUGAAUAAGGAUCGGCUAACUCCGUGCCAGCAGCCGCGGUAAUACGGAGGAUCCGAGCGUUAACCGGAUUUAUUGGGUGUAAAGGGAGCGUAGAUGGGUUGUUAAGUCAGUUGUGAAAGUUUGCGGCUCAACCGUAAAAUUGCAAUUGAUACUGGCUGCCUGGAGUACAGUUGAGGUAGGCGGAAUUCGUGGUGUAGCGGUGAAAUGCUUAGAUAUCACGAAGAACACCGAUUGCGAAGGUAGCCUACUAAACUGCCACUGACAUUGAUGCUCGAAAGUGUGGGUAUCAAACAGGAUUAGAUACCCGAGUAGUC